Molecule: ribosomal RNA, 253 nt
Filed under: uncultured bacterium
Lineage: Bacteria
Description: partial 16S ribosomal RNA
Rfam family: Bacterial small subunit ribosomal RNA
Source: RNAcentral
UACGGAGGGAGCUAGCGUUGUUCGGAAUUACUGGGCGUAAAGCGCGCGUAGGCGGCUUUGUAAGUUAGAGGUGAAAGCCCGGAGCUCAACUCCGGAACUGCCUUUAAAACUGCAUCGCUUGAAUCCAGGAGAGGUGAGUGGAAUUCCCGGUGUAGAGGUGAAAUUCGUAGAUAUCGGGAGGAACACCAGUGGCGAAGGCGGCGAUCUGGGUAGAUACUGACGCUGAGGUGCGAAAGCGUGGGGAGCAAACAGG